GCAUGAAAUCUAGCCCAAUAUAUCACAUGAGAAACCCCCGGAUCUUCAACAAAAUAAAACAUUUUAUCUUUAAAGUAGGAGUGACUGAAAAAUUUAUAUAGAGCAAAAGAAUAAGUACCGCAAGGGAAUGAUGAAAUAGAAUUGAAAUAAUUUUAAAACAACAAAAAGCAGAGCCUCCCCUCGUACCUUUUGCAUCAUGAUCUAGCUAGUUAACCCUAGCGAAAUGAAACUUUUAGUUAGACCCCCCGAAACUGAGUGAGCUACUUCAGAAUAGCUUCCAAGAGCCAACCCGUCUCUGUCGCAAAAGAGUGGGAAAAUUUUUAAGUAGCGGUGAUAAGCCUACCGAACCCAGAGAUAGCUGGUUGUUCAGGAAAAGAAUUUUAGUUCUACCUUAAGAUUAUUCAUUAUAUCAAACAAUUAAUUAAGUCUUAAGAUUUAUUCAAACAAGGCACAGCUUGUUUGAAAUAGGACACAACCUAUAAAACAGGGUAAAUUAUAAAUUUAUAAACUAAGUGGGCCUAAAAGCAGCCAUCUUUAAAAAAGCGUUAAAGCUUACUUACAUUUAACUUACAAAUUCAAUAAAUAAUCUUCAACCCUUAAUCACUACUGAACAAUUUCAUAAAAGUAUGAAACCUAUACUGCUAGAACUAGUAACAAGAAAAUGACUUUCUCCUAAAUAUAAGCUUACACCAACAUUGACUGACUAUUGGUAUUUAACGUAAAUGACUUUACUGUAACAACUACCCCCCAGCAAAUCUUACAACAACCAACGUUACCCUAACACUAGAAUAUUUUAGGAAAGAUUAAAAGAGAAAGAAGGAACUCGGCAAAAUAAUUAACCCCGCCUGUUUACCAAAAACAUCGCCUCCUGAAUAACAUAGGAGGUCCAGCCUGCCCAGUGACCUUGUUCAACGGCCUCGGUAUUCUGACCGCGCGAAGGUAGCAUAAUAACUUGUUCUUUAAAUAGGGACUAGUAUCAACGGCAUCACGAGGGUUAUCCUGUCUCCUUUCUCUAAUCAGUGAACCUGACCUCUUCGUGAAGAGGCGAAGAUACAACUAUAAGACGAGAAGACCCCAUGGAGCUUAAAACAUAGAAACAAUUUCUUCACUAUAAACCCUAAAAAAUAAGAAAAUUUGUUAGCUAGUUUUCGGCUGGGGUGCCCAAGGAGAACAACCCAACCUCCCUGAUGACCUCUAUCCAAGAGUAACAACUCAAAGAAACAAUAAAUUGACGUAAUAUGACCCGAUUUUGAUAAUCGAUCAACGAACCAAGUUACCCUGGGGAUAACAGCGCAAUCCAUUUCAAGAGCCCCUAUCGACAAAUGGGUUUACGACCUCGAUGUUGGAUCAGGGUAUCCUGGUGGUGCAGCAGCUACUAAAGGUUCGUUUGUUCAACGAUUAAAACCCUACGUGAUCUGAGUUCAGACCGGAGCAAUCCAGGUCGGUUUCUAUCUAUAAAACGUUAUUUUUCGUACGAAAGGAUCAAAAUAACAUGGCCAAUAUUAUUAAUAAGCCAUCCCCCCAAAUUAAUGACUAACACUCAAUUAACCCAUGACUAUUAAUAUUUCCUAAACCAGGACA
Molecule: ribosomal RNA, 1581 nt
Filed under: Phrynobatrachus keniensis (Kenya river frog)
Lineage: Eukaryota; Metazoa; Chordata; Amphibia; Anura; Phrynobatrachidae
Description: 16S ribosomal RNA
Rfam family: Bacterial large subunit ribosomal RNA
Source: RNAcentral